This 1368-nucleotide long non-coding RNA is filed under the name Phascolarctos cinereus (koala). Its description in RNAcentral is "lncRNA (ENSPCIG00000013722.2)". Lineage: Eukaryota; Metazoa; Chordata; Mammalia; Diprotodontia; Phascolarctidae. The record is from RNAcentral.
AUUUAUAAAGCACCUACUGUGUGCCCAGCACUGUACUAAGUGCUUGGGAAACAGACAAAAGUUCUGCAGUCUUUACCCUCCAAGGGCUUGCUUUCUAAUGAAAUGAACUGGAGAAGAGAAACAAGCCUGGAUGCACAGUGGCUGAUCCAUUCCUGGCCAGAGGACGCUGGGCUGAAGAAGUCUGCCAUUCUUACCUCUGAUUGUCUCCCCCAUCAUUUCAAUAAUUUAAUAUCACUUCUGGCCACCAGUUCUCCGUACUCUGCUUUCAACGGCUUAUUGGAAAUUCUUUUCAACUCCAAGUGAAAAGCUCCGCUCAUGCCCAGAAGUCUGCCAAUGGUCUCUUUCCCUCUUGGCUUUUUAAUUUUGUUUUCUGAGGCUGCUUUCUCUCUCAGGUUGGCCUCUCCUGCUUGCUACCCUGCAGAAGCCAGAAUUCAACACUGCUACCUGUUGCCAUGGAAAUAGAUAACACAAAGAGAAAAGAAUUAUUUCGUCUGGUAUGAAAGGACUGGAUCUUUCCAGAAAAAUCUAGAUCAGUGAAAAGCAGCCCGGGUUCCGUGAAACAUUUCUCUUUUUUUACUUGCUGAAUGUAUUUAUUUUUUUUAAAGAUGCCUCUUUUUAGGGAGAAGCUCAGGAUCAUCACUAACCCCAAGGGCCUGUUUUCCUGCUGCUCCUCAGUUCUAGGCCUAGUUUAUUGUCUGUCUAACAUGCAAGACCUAUCAGUUAAAAGUGAGCUUCUGGGGCUGUCCAUCCAACUACACAGCAUGGUCUGGAUAAUCAGCACUGGUCAUCCACUUGGUUUUUCCUGUGUGGAUGGGUCAACAUCUCUGGAAUGAUUGUAUGUGUCAUUUAGGUAUCUCAGAAGUGUUCCAAAGCUUGGCCCGAGCUGUGCAAUGUUGCCUUUAAACAGAACCAUUGGUAGCACCCAACCAUCUCCAGGUCUUCGGCUUAGACUCUGUGCUGUGUCUUCCCCAGUGAGCCGCUCUGGAUGUCCAUUUUAGGCCUCCCUCUGAACUACCAAGUUUUCACAUGUGCCCUAUUGAAAAGACUACAAAGAGGGGGGAUUAACCCAAUUCUUUUUCUUUUUGGACUCCAGAAAGCUUCUUUCACUGAUGCAGAAUGGCAGCCUGUCUGCCACUCAGACUCCCAGAGAGGGCACCCCAAGGCAAUCCAAGGCCAGGGUGGGCCCCGGGGUGUGCCCAGGAUGUGCCUAGAGCCCAGGUCCUCAUCGAAGGCCGGAUCUCCAGCCACCUGCCUCUCAGCUCACAGACUCUUCCUAACAACAGGCUGAUUUCCCCCUCCCUUGUGUGAUAUACAAGUUUACCAGCAAUAGCUGAUGUCUCCUAUUGGCCCUAAGAAGGCCUGCAUUAG